RNAcentral lists this ribosomal RNA (235 nucleotides) under uncultured bacterium. RNAcentral's name for it is "partial 16S ribosomal RNA". It matches the Rfam family "Bacterial small subunit ribosomal RNA", at positions 104 to 334 of the family's 1533-position model. The record is from RNAcentral.
CGGGACGGGGUGGAGUAAUGUCUGGGAAACUGCCUGAUGGAGGGGGGUAACUACUGGAAACGGUAGCUAAUACCGCAUAACGUCGCAAGACCAAGAGGGGGACCGUUCGGGCCUCUUGCCAUCGGAUGUGCCCAGAUGGGAUUAGCUAGUAGGUGGGGUAACGGCUCACCUAGGCGACGAUCCCUAGCUGGUCUGAGAGGAUGACCAGCCACACUGGAACUGAGACACGGUCCAG